CUAGUUCUAACCAUAAACGAUGCCAGCUAGCGAUCUGCCGACGUUUUUUUUGUAGACUCGGCAGGAAGCUUCCGGGAAACCAAAGCGUUUGGGUUCCAGGGGAAGUAUGGUUGCAAAGCUGAAACUUAAAGGAAUUGACGGAAGGGCACCACCAGGAGUGGAGCCUGUGGCUUAAUUUGACUCAACACGGGAAAUCUCACCAGGCCCGGACACUGGAAGGAUUGACAGAUUGAUAGCUCUUUCUUGAUUCGGUGGGUGGUGGUGCAUGGCCGUUCUUAGUUGGUGGAGUGAUUUGUCUGGUUAAUUCCGAUAACGAACGAGACUCUGUCCUGCUAAAUAGUGUCCGCCUCUCUUUUGGGCGGACAAUUCUUCUUAGAGGGACUGGCGACUCUCAGUCGCACGAGAUUGAGCAAUAACAGGUCUGUGAUGCCCUUAGAUGUUCUGGGCCGCACACGCGCUACACUGAAUAGAUCAACGUGUUCCCCCUAUCCGAGAGGAUCGGGUAAACCGCUGAACCCUAUUCGUGGUAGGGAUCGGGGCUUGCAAUUGUUCCCCGUAAACCAGGAAUUCCCAGUAGGCGCAAGUCAUAAGCUUGUGUCGAUUACGUCCCUGCCCUUNGUACACACCGCCCGUCGCUACUACCGAUUGAACGUUUUAGUGAGGUCCUCGGACUGACAGGUUGGCGGAUUACUCUGCCUGCCUGGCGGGAAGACGACCA
RNAcentral lists this ribosomal RNA (718 nucleotides) under Chiridius obtusifrons. RNAcentral describes it as "SSU rRNA". It matches the Rfam family "Eukaryotic small subunit ribosomal RNA", at positions 1020 to 1761 of the family's 1831-position model. The record is from RNAcentral. Lineage: Eukaryota; Metazoa; Arthropoda; Copepoda; Calanoida; Aetideidae.